This 370-nucleotide long non-coding RNA is filed under the name Lathyrus oleraceus (garden pea). Its description in RNAcentral is "Pisum sativum (pea) long non-coding RNA (PSAT_LNC002764)". Lineage: Eukaryota; Viridiplantae; Streptophyta; Magnoliopsida; Fabales; Fabaceae. The record is from RNAcentral.
CCCAGUACACACCUCAUAGACCCCUCGAGGGUUGUCAAGUACCAGAUUAACAGUUGUUUCUUCCAUGGAAGAUAUCGGAAUCAGAGGUUCCUGCUACUCAUUCUUUUAUCUUUCCAUGCCCCUUGGCAAUCAUUAUUCUACCUGACUGUUUGAUCUCUUUUGUUUUCGGUUCAGGCAUUCCUUGCAUUAUUUUUCUUUUUCUUUUCUUUUCUUUUUUUUUUCUUUUCUUUUUUUUUCUUUUUUUUUUCUCUUUUUUUUUUUGCAGGAUCGACCUCGACUCCUCUUUCGUUCACAAUAAGCCUCGGCAACUUACCGGACAACACUCCAUAAGUGCGCGACUUCGAACUCAACAGUAUGAGUUAUCUCUACC